GAAAGUAGGAAAGGGCGCAUGGCGGAUGCCUUGGCUCUCGGAGGCGAUGAAGGACGUGAUAAGCUGCGAUAAGUCACGGGGAGGUGCAAAUAACCCUUGAUCCGUGAAUCUCCGAAUGGGACAACCCGUUACCUUGAAGAGGUAACAUCCAUCAAUGAUGGAGGCUAACGCAGGGAACUGAAACAUCUUAGUACCUGCAGGAAAAGAAAAUAACAAUGAUUCCCCCAGUAGUGGCGAGCGAACGGGGAAGAGCCCAAACCGUUCAUGUUACGGCAUGGACGGGGUUGUAGGACCGCGUCGUUGCAAGAAAUUUUGCGAGAAGAACGAUCUGGAAAGUUCGGCCGAAGACGGUGACAGCCCGGUAUUCUAAGCAAGACGAAGCAUAGCGGUAUCCUGAGUAGCGCGGAACACGAGGAAUUCUGCGUGAAUCUGCCGGGACCAUCCGGUAAGGCUAAAUACUCCCGAGAGACCGAUAGUGGACCAGUACCGUGAGGGAAAGGUGAAAAGCACUUCGAACAGAAGAGUGAAAUAGUACCUGAAACCGUGCGCCUACAAGCGGUCGGAGCAUGAAAAUGUGACGGCGUGCCUUUUGCAUAAUGAACCUACGAGUUGCCGUCUUUGGCAAGGUUAAGGGACAUGAGUCCCGCAGCCGAAGCGAAAGCGAGUCUGAACAGGGCGUCAAGUCAGCGGCGGCAGACGCGAAACCAAGUGAUCUACCCUUGGCCAGGAUGAAGUCUGGGUAACACCAGAUGGAGGUCCGCACCAAUAAGCGUUGAAAAGCUUCUGGAUGAGCUGAGGGUAGGGGUGAAAGGCUAAUCAAACUUGGAGAUAGCUCGUACUCCCCGAAAUGCAUUUAGGUGCAGCCUUGCGGGUUACUGAUGUGAGGUAGAGCGACUGAUAAGAUGCGAGGGCUUCACCGCCUAUCAAGUCUUGACAAACUCCGAAUGCGCAUCAGUUCUACCGCAGGAGUGAGGGCAUGGGUGCUAAGGUCCGUGCCCGAGAGGAGAAGAAUCCGGACCACCGGCUAAGGUCCCGAAAUGACAGCUAAGUUAAACUAACGAAGUCUGAUUGCUAAGACAGCUAGGAUGUUGGCUUGGAAGCAGCCAUUCAUUUAAAGAGUGCGUAACAGCUCACUAGUCGAGGAAUCGGGCGUGGAUAAUAAUCGGGUAUCAAGUUGUCUACCGAAGCCGUGGGAUCAGCAAUGAUCGGUAGGGGAGCAUUCCAUUCCGCGUCGAAGGCGUGGCGUGAGCCAUUCUGGAGCGUAUGGAAAAGCAAAUGUAGGUAUAAGUAACGAUAAAGGGGGUGAGAAACCCCCUCGCCGAAAGACUAAGGUUUCCUGAUCAACGCUAAUCGGAUCAGGGUCAGUCGGGUCCUAAGGCUCAGCCGAACGGCGAGGCCGAUGGCAGAAACGGUUAAUAUUCCGUUACUACCUUUGAGGGUGACGUGGGGAAGCAGUAGUGACACUGCCGCGGGCUGACGGAAUAGCCCGUUAAAGAGUGUAGGCGUUGAUUUCCGCAGGCAAAUCCACGGAAAGAGCCGAACUUGACAGUAUGGAGCGUCCUUCGGGACAAUCCAAUAGCGCAGGUAAGCAGACUGCCGAGAAAAUCCGCUAAACAUAACUUCAGAGGUACCCGUACCGCAAACGGACACACGUAGUCGGGUUGAAUAUACUAAGGCGCUUGGGUGAAUCACGGUUAAGGAACUAGGCAAACUGACCCUGUAACUUCGGGAUAAAGGGUCCCUCCUCGCAAGAGAGGGCGCAGAGAAUAGGUCCAGGCAACUGUUUAACAAAAACACAGGGCUGUGCGAAUAUGAAAGUAGAAGUAUACAGCCUGACACCUGCCCGGUGCUGGAAGGUUAAGAGGAGAUGUCAUCGCAAGAGAAGCAUUGAAUUGAAGCCCCAGUAAACGGCGGCCGUAACUAUAACGGUCCUAAGGUAGCGAAAUUCCUUGUCGGGU
Molecule: ribosomal RNA, 1958 nt
Filed under: human gut metagenome
Description: bacterial LSU rRNA
Rfam family: Bacterial large subunit ribosomal RNA
Source: RNAcentral